GACCUGGUGGUGAAAGGUAUCACAUCUGCUUUGCCUACCAGGGAGAAUCAAAGGUAUUUGUAGGAAUCCCUGGUUUGAGUCCGGGUCAGGUCA
This is a non-coding RNA of Mycena leptocephala, 93 nucleotides long. The record is from the annotation of a GenBank genome assembly. Lineage: Eukaryota; Fungi; Basidiomycota; Agaricomycetes; Agaricales; Mycenaceae.